This 498-nucleotide ribosomal RNA is filed under the name uncultured bacterium. RNAcentral's name for it is "partial 16S ribosomal RNA". It matches the Rfam family "Bacterial small subunit ribosomal RNA", at positions 30 to 523 of the family's 1533-position model. The record is from RNAcentral.
AUUGAACGCUGGCGGCAUGCCUUACACAUGCAAGUCGAACGGUAACAGGUCUUCGGAUGCUGACGAGUGGCGAACGGGUGAGUAAUGCAUCGGAACGUGCCCAGUAGUGGGGGAUAGCCCGGCGAAAGCCGGAUUAAUACCGCAUACGACCUGAGGGUGAAAGGGGGGGAUCGCAAGACCUCUCGCUAUUGGAGCGGCCGAUGUCAGAUUAGCUAGUUGGUGGGGUAAAGGCCUACCAAGGCAACGAUCUGUAGUUGGUCUGAGAGGACGACCAGCCACACUGGGACUGAGACACGGCCCAGACUCCUACGGGAGGCAGCAGUGGGGAAUUUAGGACAAUGGGCGCAAGCCUGAUCCAGCAAUGCCGCGUGCAGGAAGAAGGCCUUCGGGUUGUAAACUGCUUUUGUCAGGGAAGAAAUCUUCUGGGUUAAUACCUCGGGAGGAUGACGGUACCUGAAGAAUAAGCACCGGCUAACUCCGUGCCAGCAGCCGCGGUAA